GGGAUUACAGGUGUGAGCCACUGCGACCAGCCCUGUUGGCGUCUUUGAUCCUGGGCUGAGGAGCUGAGAAGUUUCUAUGGCCUGAGGGUCACACACACCUGCCCACACACCUGGCCUUCACCCUUCCUGCUAGGGGGUAUGUCCUCUGCCAGGAGCUGUUGCUCGUAUGGGGGGACCAGGGGCCUUUGCCUUGAUCAGAUGGAGACCUGGAUGGCCACAAAACAGAACACACCCACCUACAAAGCACAUGGCCCAGAGAUGUCCUCGUCUCCUGGCUGCUGGCUGACCAGCUAAGUCCUGGCACUGCAGGGCCUGCCCAGGCCGAAUUGGGGCUGAGCCAGACUCCCUGCAGUGGGGCCCGGUGGCACUGGGACCUCUCACAGCCUCUUUUCUGUCUUGCAGGAAAUGGCUAAUUCUGUCUACCUGGUUAUGGAGUACUGCAACGGUGGGGACCUGGCCGACUACCUGCACGCCAUGCGCACGCUGAGCGAGGACACCAUCAGGCUCUUCCUGCAGCAGAUCGCGGGCGCCAUGCGGCUUCUGCACAGCAAAGGCAUCAUCCACCGCGACCUGAAGCCGCAGAACAUCCUGCUGUCCAACCCCGCCGGCCGCCGCGCCAACCCCAACAGCAUCCGCGUCAAGAUCGGUCAGCCCGCGGGCAGGCAGGCGGGCCCGGCGGGGAGGGGCUCCGGGGCCGGCGCCGGUCCUGACGCGUCUCUCCCGCAGCUGACUUCGGCUUCGCGCGGUACCUCCAGAGCAACAUGAUGGCGGCCACACUCUGCGGCUCCCCCAUGUACAUGGCCCCCGAGGUCAUCAUGUCCCAGCACUACGACGGGAAGGCGGACCUGUGGAGCAUCGGCACCAUCGUCUACCAGUGCCUGACGGGGAAGGCGCCCUUCCAGGCCAGCAGCCCCCAGGACCUGCGCCUGUUCUACGAGAAGAACAAGACGUUGGUCCCCACCAUCCCCCGGGAGACCUCGGCCCCGCUGCGGCAGCUGCUCCUGGCCCUACUGCAACGCAACCACAAGGACCGCAUGGA
This 1039-nucleotide small RNA is filed under the name Pan troglodytes (chimpanzee). RNAcentral describes it as "retained intron". Lineage: Eukaryota; Metazoa; Chordata; Mammalia; Primates; Hominidae. The record is from RNAcentral.